RNAcentral lists this ribosomal RNA (531 nucleotides) under uncultured bacterium. Its description in RNAcentral is "bacterial SSU rRNA". It matches the Rfam family "Bacterial small subunit ribosomal RNA", at positions 777 to 1308 of the family's 1533-position model. The record is from RNAcentral.
AAUAGAUACCUCGGUAGUCCACGCCGUAAACGUUGGACACUAGGUGUGGCGUCCCGAUCAACGGAUGCCGUGCCGAAGCUAACGCAUUAAGUAUCCCGCCUGGGGAGUACGGCCGCAAGGCUAAAACUCAAAGGAAUUGACGGGUCCCCGCACAAGCGGCGGAGCAUGCGGCUUAAUUCGAUGCAACCCGAAGAACCUUACCUGGGUUUGAAAUCAUGGGAAAAGCUGUAGAAAUACAGUGUCCGUAAGGGCCCAUGACAGGUGGUGCAUGGCUGUCGUCAGCUCGUGUCGUGAGAUGUUGGGUUAAGUCCCGCAACGAGCGCAACCCUUGUCCUAUGUUGCCAGCGGUUCGGCCGGGGACUCAUAGGAGACUGCCGGGGAUAACUCGGAGGAAGGUGAGGACGACGUCAAGUCAUCAUGCCCCUUAUAUCCAGGGCUGCACGCAUGCUACAAUGGUCGGUACAACGGGCAGCGACCCCGCGAGGGUGAGCGAAUCCCACAAAGCCGGCCUCAGUUCGGAUUGGAGUCUGC